GGGCUCGUAGCUCAGCUUGGAUAGAGCGACGCUCUCCUAAGGCGAAGGUCGUGGGUUCAAAAGCCUUGUCGGCACGCCGACAAGAUUUGCCAGCAAGGCUGUCAAUCCCACCGGGCCCG
Molecule: transfer RNA, 119 nt
Filed under: Candidatus Burarchaeum sp.
Lineage: Archaea; Nanobdellati; Microcaldota; Candidatus Micrarchaeia; Candidatus Burarchaeales; Candidatus Burarchaeaceae
Description: tRNA-Arg
Rfam family: tRNA
About the family: Transfer RNA (tRNA) molecules are approximately 80 nucleotides in length. Their secondary structure includes four short double-helical elements and three loops (D, anti-codon, and T loops).
Source: RNAcentral